GUGGUUAUAAGAGUUCAGUGUCUGCUGUUAAAUGUGUAUGCUGUUAAAUGUGUCUGUUUGAGCUCUGGGGUUAAGAAAUAAAGGAAGAAUAAAACUCAACCAAAAACCAAACCAGACCAGACCAGCAGCGAUGAGAAAGACCCUUACAGACCAGACCAGACCAGCAGCAAUGAGAGAGACCCUUACAGACCAGACCAGACCAGCAGCGAUGAGAGAGACCCCUACAGACCAGACCAGCAGCGAUGAGAGAGACCCUUAUAGACCAGACCAGACCAGCAGCUUUGAGAGAGACCCUUCCAGACCAGACCAGACCAGCAGGGAUGAUAGAGAGCCUUACAGACCAGACCAGACCAGCAGGGAUGAUAGAGAGCCUUACAAACCAGACCAGCAGGGAUGAGAGAGACCCUUACAGACCAGACCAGACCAGCAGCAAUGAGAGAGACCCUUACAGACCAGACCAGCAGCGAUGAGAGAGACCCCUACAGACCAGACCAGCAGCGAUGAGAGAGACCCUUAUAGACCAGACCAGACCAGCAGCUUUGAGAGAGACCCUUCCAGACCAGACCAGACCAGCAGGGAUGAUAGAGAGCCUUACAGACCAGACCAGACCAGCAGGGAUGAUAGAGAGCCUUACAAACCAGACCAGCAGGGAUGAGAGAGACCCUUACAGACCAGACCAGACCAGCAGCGAUGAGAGAGACCCUUUCAGACCAGACCAGACCCUUCCAGACCAGACCAGCAGCUUUGAGAGAGACCCUUACAGACCAGACCAGACCAGCAGUGAUGAUAGAGACCCCUACAGACCAGACCAGAAGCUUUGAGAGAGACCCUUAUAGACCAGACCAGACCAGCAGCGAAGAUAGAGACCCCUACAGACCAGACCAGACCAGCAGCGAUGAGAGAGACCCUUCCAGACCAGACCAGACCAGCAGGGAUGAGAGAGACCCUUACAGACCAGACCAGCCCAGACCAGACCAGCAGCGGUGAGAGAGACCCUUACAGACCAGACCAGACCAGCAGCGCAGCGGUGAGAGAGACCCUUACAGACCAGACCAGACCAGCAGCUUUGAGAGAGACCCUUACAGACCAGACCAGCAGCGCCCAGACCAGCAGCAGUGAGAGAGACCCUUACAGACCAGACCAGACCAGCAGGGAUGAGAGAGACCCUUACAGACCAGACCAGCAGCGGUGAGAGAGACCCUUACAGACUAGACCAGACGUGAUGAGAGAGACCCUUCCAGACCAGCAGGGAUGAGAAAGACCCUUACAGACCAGACCAGCAGGGAUGAGAGAGACCCUUACAGACCAGACCAGCGGCUUUGAGAGAGACCCUUACAGACCAGACCAGCAGGGAUGAGAGAGACCCUUACAGACCAGACUAGACCAGCAGCUUUGAGAGAGACCCUUACAGACCAGACCAGACCAGCAGCUUUGAGAGAGACCCUUACAGACCAGACCAGCAGCUUUGAGAGAGACCCUUACAGACCAGACCAGACCAGCAGCUUUGAGAGAGACCCUUCCAGACCAGACCAGACCAGCAGCGAUGAGAAAGA
Clupea harengus (Atlantic herring) is the source of this 1553-nucleotide long non-coding RNA. NCBI's taxonomy places the organism in Eukaryota, Metazoa, Chordata, Actinopteri, Clupeiformes, Clupeidae. The record is from Ensembl.